GACGAACGCUGGCGGCGUGCUUAACACAUGCAAGUCGAACGGAGUGGCGAACGGGUGAGUAACACGUGGGUGACCUGCCCUGCACUUCGGGAUAAGCCUGGGAAACUGGGUCUAAUACCGGAUAGUGUGGGAUGGGCCCGCGGCCUAUCAGCUUGUUGGUGGGGUAAUGGCCGACCAAGGCGGCGACGGGUAGCCGGCCUGAGAGGGUGGACGGCCACAUUGGGACUGAGACACGGCCCAGACUCCUACGGGAGGCAGCAGUGGGGAAUAUUGCACAAUGGGCGGAUGCCUGAUGCAGCGACGCCGGGUGGGGGAUGACCGCGUUCGGGUGGUAAACCGCGGCCAGCUUUGACGCUGGAGUGGCUUAGGAAGCACGGGCGAGCUACGUGCCAGCAAGCGCGGUAAUUC
RNAcentral lists this ribosomal RNA (408 nucleotides) under uncultured bacterium. Its description in RNAcentral is "partial 16S ribosomal RNA". It matches the Rfam family "Bacterial small subunit ribosomal RNA", at positions 28 to 526 of the family's 1533-position model. The record is from RNAcentral.